GGGGAAUAUUGCACAAUGGGCGAAAGCCUGAUGCAGCAACGCCGCGUGAGUGAUGAAGGUCUUCGGAUUGUAAAGCUCUGUCUUUUGGGACGAUAAUGACGGUACCAAAGGAGGAAGCCACGGCUAACUACGUGCCAGCAGCCGCGGUAAUACGUAGGUGGCAAGCGUUGUCCGGAUUUACUGGGCGUAAAGGGUGCGUAGGCGGAUGUUUAAGUGAGAUGUGAAAUACCCGGGCUUAACUUGGGUGCUGCAUUUCAAACUGGAUGUCUGGAGUGCAGGAGAGGAGAACGGAAUUCCUAGUGUAGCGGUGAAAUGCGUAGAGAUUAGGAAGAACACCAGUGGCGAAGGCGGUUCUCUGGACUGUAACUGACGCUGAGGCACGAAAGCGUGGGUAGCAAAC
Molecule: ribosomal RNA, 400 nt
Filed under: uncultured bacterium
Lineage: Bacteria
Description: bacterial SSU rRNA
Rfam family: Bacterial small subunit ribosomal RNA
Source: RNAcentral